UUUCCUGGGGAAGGCUCGUCCUCCCAGGGUUAGUCGGGACCUAAGGCGAGGCCGAAAGGCGUAGUCGAUGGAUAACAGGUUGAUAUUCCUGUACUUCUGUUAAUUGUUUGAGCAAUGGAGGGACGCAGGAGGCUAAGUUGAGCGUACGACUGGAAAUGUACGUCCAAGCAGCGAGUCCGCUGAUGAGUGAAAUGCUUGUCACGUACGGGGUGAGCUGUGAUGGGGAGCGAAAUAUAGUAGCGAAGCAACUGACGUCACACUGCCGAGAAAAGCUUCUAGUGAGAUUAACAGAACCCGUACCGCAAACCGACACAGGUAGUUGAGUGGAGAACACUAAGGUGAGCGAGCGAACUCUCGUUAAGGAACUCGGCAAAAUGACCCCGUAACUUCGGGAGAAGGGGUGCUGGUAGCAAUACCAGCCGCAGUGAAUAGGCCCAGGCGACUGUUUAUCAAAAACACAGGUCUCUGCAAAAUCGAAAGAUGACGUAUAGGGGCUGACGCCUGCCCGGUGCUGGAAGGUUAAGAGGAGAGGUUAGCGCAAGCGAAGCUUUGAAUUGAAGCCCCAGUAAACGGCGGCCGUAACUAUAACGGUCCUAAGGUAGCGAAAUUCCUUGUCGGGUAAGUUCCGACCCGCACGAAAGGCGUAACGAUUUGGGCACUGUCUCAACGAUGGACUCGGUGAAAUCAUAGUACCUGUGAAGAUGCAGGUUACCCGCGACAGGACGGAAAGACCCCAUGGAGCUUUACUGUAGUUUGAUAUUGAGUGUUUGUGUCACAUGUACAGGAUAGGUAGGAGCUGAAGAAUCCGGGACGCCAGUUUCGGAGGAGGCAACGGUGGGAUACUACCCUUGUGACAUGACCACUCUAACCCGCACCCCUAACCGGGGUGGGAGACAGUGUCAGACGGGCAGUUUGACUGGGGCGGUCGCCUCCUAAAAUGUAACGGAGGCGCCCAAAGGUUCCCUCAGAAUGGUUGGAAAUCAUUCGUAGAGUGUAAAGGCAGAAGGGAGCUUGACUGCGAGACCAACAAGUCGAGCAGGGACGAAAGUCGGGCUUAGUGAUCCGGUGGUUCCGUAUGGAAGGGCCAUCGCUCAACGGAUAAAAGCUACCCUGGGGAUAACAGGCUUAUC
This 1130-nucleotide ribosomal RNA is filed under the name human oral metagenome. RNAcentral's name for it is "bacterial LSU rRNA". It matches the Rfam family "Bacterial large subunit ribosomal RNA", at positions 1351 to 2487 of the family's 2925-position model. The record is from RNAcentral.